Molecule: RNA transcript, 2756 nt
Organism: Lathyrus oleraceus (garden pea)
Lineage: Eukaryota; Viridiplantae; Streptophyta; Magnoliopsida; Fabales; Fabaceae
Gene name: zinc finger CCCH domain-containing protein 55
Exons: 9
Source: RefSeq, a predicted model, not a curated record
AAAAAACCAUAUACAAGGUUGUGUUUUUGCUGUGUUUUUUUACUUAUGUUGUUGUUGUUGUGGAUCUGAGAAAUCUAUCUCUCUGACGCUCUAGAGAUAGGAGAGAGAGAUUAUAGAGAGAGAAAACAAAAACAUAGUGAGAGAGAGUGUGUGUGUUGUUUUGUUGAGUAUAUACAUAGCCACCAAAACCUAUGUUGUAAUAGAAAUCAAAAAUCUCCACCACCAUUGUUUCUUAGUAUACCCUUUGGUCUAAAUUUCAUUCUUGAGUGAAAAAGUUUCGAUUUUUCUGUGUGUUCUGAAAUGGGUUCUUGUGAAGCAACAAAUGUAGUUCUUGCUAAAGUCAAGAACUUUGACCCUGAAAAUGCUUCAAAAAUCAUGGGUUAUCUUCUGAUGAACCUUGAAGAAUAUGAAUUAGUACGUUUAGCAUGUUGUCCUGACCAUGUUAUUCAUAAUCUUGCUAUUAGGGUCAAGAGCCAUUUGGGUAUGGCAGUGUCAAACCCUUCUUCUCCUUCGCCUCUUAACCCAAUUGGUAGAAUCACUUCAACUUCUACAAACCCUUUUUCAAAAUCUUCUCCUAGAGCCGUUGCUAAUGGUUUUGACUUCACUAGAAACCCUGCUUCGCCUUCUUCCAAUGUUUGGCCACAACCCUCUUUUCAAAAGAAUCCAAUGAGUCCAAAGUUUAAUCCUUUACUCUCUUAUGAGAAUAUCCAAACUGGUGUUGGUGUUGGUGUGGGUGGUUCUGGUGGUGGUGGUGGUGGUGGUUCUUCUUUCUCACCAAGGGUUAAUAAUGGUGGUGAUUGUGAAUUUGUUGAUGAGCAACAACUGAAUGAGUAUUUUCCUUUUCUCAAUGAGUCAUCUAACGGUGACGAUGUGGUUGAUCCGCGUCUUGAAAUGAGUCUUGGCCCUCAAAAUUGGAUGUCUGGUAACAAUGUUGAUGCUCAGAAUAUCCAUAGGAGGAGUUUUUCUGCCAGUGAUGCUGGUUUUGGUGUGGAAGAGAGUGGAGUAGGAUUUGGUUUUAAGCCAUGUCUUUACUUUGCUAGAGGGUUUUGUAAAAAUGGUUCUAAUUGUAAGUUUGUUCAUGCUGAUUCAAUUGAUCUUAAUUCUGGUGCUGUUGUUGGUUCGCCCUCGAAGUUCGAGGGAUUGGAACAGCAUGAGGAGUUCAUGAGGUUCAAGGCUGCUCAGCAUCAAAGAUUGCUGGCUGCAUCACAACUUGCUGCUGGUGGAACAUCGCCGUCUUCGUACGACAAGUACAUUGAUUUUCUGAUGCAGCAGCAUAAUGAUAAUCAAAGAGCCGCGGCUGCGGCAGCUUUUAUGAUGGGUGAAGAAUAUUUCAACAUUAGUGGUCGGGGAAGGCCCGACAGGAAUGAGUUUCUCGCCAUGGUUGCUGGGGAUAAGCCAAACUCGGCAUCGCGGCAGAUUUAUUUAACCUUUCCUGCUGAAAGCACAUUCAAAGACGAAGAUGUUUCGGAGUAUUUCAGCAAAUAUGGACCUGUCCAAGAUGUGAGAAUUCCUUACCAGCAGAAGCGCAUGUUCGGGUUUGUUACCUUUGUCUUUCCGGAGACGGUGAGAAACAUAUUAUCGAAAGGGAAUCCUCAUUUUAUAUGCGAUUCACGCGUGCUUGUGAAACCCUACAAGGAGAAGGGUAAAGUUCCUGACAAGAGACAACAUCCACAACAACUAGAGAGAGGCGAUUUUUCGCCGUGUUUAAGUCCCUCUGGGUUUGAACCUAAAGAACCUUUUGAUUUCCAUCCUGGAGCGAGAAUGAUGUUUAAUCCGCAUGACAUCUUGUUGAGAAGGAAAAUAGAGGAGCAGGCUGAGUUGCAGCAAGUCCUUGAACUCCAAGAAAGGAGGCUGAAGAGUCUGCAGCUUCCAGACUUCAAGAAUAUUCCGAUCCACCACCAGCGCAGUGUCUCUGUCGGGGCUCCUUUUAUUUUUCCUCAUCAACUUCAUAGCCAUUUUAACCAUGCAGGUCUUUCUCCCGAUAACAUUCAAGGAGAUAUUACAGGCUACGGUGUCGGCUUCACUCCUACCGGUUCUUUCGGUGCCGCAUCUGAGCAGCACCCGCAGCAGCUUCAGAAAGAAGCUGAUCCAUCCCGCAUUGAUGCUGCUGCUGCUGAAAGUGGGAACAUAAUCAAUACUGCAAACUCAGAAGCCCUAGAUCUCGGCACUAGAAACGUUGAACAAACCCUUCCUGAGAGUUUCUUUGCUUCACCAACCAAAGCAGCUGGAGAUCAUCUGUCUGAUUUCUCUCCACUCGAAGACGUCAACGAGAAGCUAGACUCGACAACAACUGCUCCGGGCAACAACAAUGCUUCCCUUUAAUUUUCUUUACAAAUCAAGGUAAUAAAAAUAGAAGGGGCAAGCAAGGAAUCAUGUUAAUUAGGAAGUGCAGAUUUAUAGAAUGAAUCAUAUAUUAGAAGAAGAAGAAAAAAAAUCUUCUAGAUGUAUAGCUGAAUACACCUAGAUCAAGAGACUAGUUCGUUCGUUCCUUGAGCAAGAAUCAAAACCGAUGUCGUCGUCAUCAUCAUCAUCAAUCGUCAUCAUCAAUCAUGAAUCAAAUACAUACUACUAACAGCAACCAAGCAAUACACAUAUUGCAUACAUGGAUAGAGACAUAUUAGUUUAUAUAUUACUAUAAGACUAUAUAAGCCUAGUUUUCCUAUCAUCAUUUCCAUUUCAUUUCCAGACAGAAAAACAAAAAAAAAUUUGUUGUUUUUACCUUUCAUGUAAUAUAUAGACUAUGUGAUUAUGUUUUA